Bombyx mori (domestic silkworm) is the source of this 683-nucleotide long non-coding RNA. RefSeq lists it as uncharacterized. Lineage: Eukaryota; Metazoa; Arthropoda; Insecta; Lepidoptera; Bombycidae. The record is from RefSeq and is a predicted model, not a curated record. The transcript is spliced from 2 exons.
ACACUUUAAUCGUGCCUUUUUUUGUACUGUCAAACCGUAAAGUGUUCAUAACCUAAGAAAUAACAUAAUAAAUAUAAUAUAUAAUAAUAAUACUAUAAUAAACAGUAAAAAAUGCGAGAUAAUCCGUAAAAGUAGUUUGAAUUGCGAGAUUUGUUUGUCACAUGAUCACUCAAGCUGGUGUAAGCCAUAAGGAUGUUUACAUGAACAUCCACUACUUAAGUCUUCAUUUUCCUUAUUCCUUCCUCAAUCCUCUAUCCACGUCAUCUGUUGACGCUCCAAGAGAACAACAAAAAGACAAACAAAAACAUUUAAAUUUAAUAAACAAAACAACGCUGCCAAAAAAGGAAAAUUUGUGAAUUGUGUCAGUCAUCAAUCUGCAUAGAAAACUGUGAAUAAUCACGUGAAAAUUUGCAUCGGGAGCUUUGGAAAGAAAAAUGAAUGGUAUUAUUCUACUUGAACAUUACCACACGUCUGCUGGCAACACACCCGAACAACGGCGUGAACAUACAAAUAAAAGAAAACUCGUAUUUAAUUCUAUUAUUUGAGAUAUAACAAACACGGACAGAACACAAUGGGACCAUUAACUACCUGAUAAUAACGUGCACUUGUGUCACUAAAAGCGUUUUGGUACUGUCGUUGACAAUGUCCGUUAUAAAGCAUAUUAAUUAUAUUAAUUUAAUCAA